Molecule: ribosomal RNA, 274 nt
Filed under: uncultured bacterium
Lineage: Bacteria
Description: partial 16S ribosomal RNA
Rfam family: Bacterial small subunit ribosomal RNA
Source: RNAcentral
AUACAGGGGGUGCGAGCGUUAAUCGGAAUUACUGGGCGUAAAGAGUACGUAGGCGGUUGCUUAAGUCAGAUGUGAAAGCCCCGGGCUCAACCUGGGAACUGCAUUUGAAACUGAGUGACUAGAGUUUAAGAGAGGGGAGUAGAAUUCCGGGUGUAGCGGUGAAAUGCGUAGAGAUCCGGAGGAAUACCAGUGGCGAAGGCGGCUCCCUGGCUUAAAACUGACGCUGAGGUACGAAAGCGUGGGUAGCAAACAGAAUUAGAAACCCUAGUAGUCC